Molecule: long non-coding RNA, 2075 nt
Filed under: Zostera marina
Lineage: Eukaryota; Viridiplantae; Streptophyta; Magnoliopsida; Alismatales; Zosteraceae
Description: long non-coding RNA (ZMAR_LNC003102)
Source: RNAcentral
UCUAAUCAUAUUUUCUUGAUAUUGGUAAAAAAUUAAUAAAUUAUAAAGUUAAAAUUGUAAUGGAUAGAUGGUCGGUCGGUUGUAGUGUCAUGCGAUUUUUAUAGAAUAAUAAAUGCGUUAGAUUUUUACAGAUUCAUUUAAACAGAUUUUUACACAUUUUUACAGAGUAUUAAAGGGUAUUAAAUAGUCAGAGUAAUCCGAAUAUUAAACCUGAUAUUAACGUCGAAUCUUUACCUUGUUUUCACAGGAUUUUCACGAGAUUUGCACCGUUUUUAAGGAGAUGGGUCAGGAUUACUAACAUCUGGUUACGAUGGCACCUGCAGAACCCUAUUUGAUGGGUCUCAUGUAGUCAUGAUCAGUAUCCAUUUUCAGAUGGGAAUCCUGCAGAACAUCGAUCAGAUUGUUACGACGGCAAAUAACAAAAGAGUAAUAGAGUAAACGAUGAAGAAUAAGAUGUAGAGGCCGACUAAAAAUUUAUACCAUUGUUAUCGGAAGAAAAAGAUGUAGAUGGUGACUAAAAAUUUAAACCAAAUUAAUCGACAGUCUAACCUUGGUAAACCUACAAAAGUUAAACCACGCUCAGAUUUUUCCACCUUCUUACAUCCUCCGAAAAAGCUGCAAAAGGAGACAAGAAUGAUUUCGAUUCGACGUGCGCAGACUUGCUCUCGAUAGAUGAUUGACGUAUGCAGAGUGCGACAGUGAAAAGACUAGACCUGAAAAUAUUAUUCUAAUACAAUAAAUUUAAUUUAUAAAAGCCCGUUGUCAAAUUUACCAAUACUUUCACAUAACGUAUUUCAGACAUUGUCUUAAACUAAAUGUAACAAAUUUAUUACUAUAGAUUUGACCGUUGAUUAAUUAUGCACCCAAAUUUUUUACCAUAAUAAGAUUUUAAAAAGUCGGUGGAAUUCUAGAAAUUCGAAAUACCGAAAUCGAAUUACUGAAACGAUUUCAGGAUAAUUUUUCGAUAAUCCAAAUCUAUAUAAUUAAUGUGAAAUUAUAAAGUGAUGGGUAUUAAUGGAAGAAUAAUAUAACCGAAUAGUAUAAACCGAAUAGUAUCUACUUUCGGAUAUACUAACCGAAUUAGAUAUAUCCGAAUAAUUAUCCGGUUAUAUCCAGAUAAAAUAUUUCGGAUAUAUAUUGGGUUCUAAUUUAUUUGGAUAAAUCCCUACCGAUUUUAUUAUGGUCAAUCUUUCCCGAUCUACUCCAAAAUCCCUACCACCCGGUCUACGCAGGCGACAGGAUAACCAGACCGGCCCGCCGCGUUCUGGAUUUACCUAAAUAGUCAAAGAAGUCAUCCCUCGAUAAUCUGUAAAUUGAUAAUCAAUAGGUAUUUUUAAUCAUUAAAUAAAAUAAAGUAAUCGGAUUGCAGGCAGCCUGUAUAAUUUUCCAAAACAAUCUACAUGUAAUGAAUAUCCGUCAAAAGUUCUUGGAGAACAUCAUUAAACGAAAGAAACGGAGGAAUAAAACCUAGAAUCUCGUAGACGAAAUCUACCAUACAGCUGUGUGUUAAAAUAAACUGUUGCCUAACACCUAACGAAAAACUCGAGAACAUAAACCCAAAAUAAUCCCUUACCUCCGCUUUUAUAUUCUCCAAAGAAAAUAAGGUAUGUCUCCGGUGAUGUUGUUCUUCCACUUCGCCCAUGACGGAAUCAUUUGGAAUGGGUAAUCGGCAACAUGAUUUACAAAUCAUACAGGUUUUGAGAUAUACGAGAUUGCCUGGUGGAGUUGAUAUAUGAGACUGCCUGGUGGAGUUGAUAUACGAGACUGCUUGGUGGAGUUGAUAUACGAGACUUCAUGGUACAAGACCAACGAAGAAUUUCGAAAUUAGGGAUGAAUUGAAAAUAGGGUUAUGCAGUCUGUAUAUGAUUUUGGUUAAAAUUCAUUUCCUCAUAAAUGGGUUAUAAUUGAUUGACCGAUUAAUGCAUCUCACCCGAUUAUUUAUGUUUGAGGGUUUAUUUGUCAUUACCUAUUUGCCUCCCAAUGUCGAUACUACGAGGUAUUAAAAUCUGCAAGAACCCCUUCCAUUAUUAAUUUGCGAUAACCCAUUUCGAUUGUAAAAAGAACCCAUUCCGAUU